AAUACAUAAAGCACUUCGCGGGUGAGAUUUGCCUUGCAUCGGUGGUGUCAUGUGUUUAUCAUGGAGCUUGCACGAAUGCAAGGAUGCUUGCCUUUUCCCUCACGCUAUUUUGCCUGGGAACAGUUCUUGCUUAUUCCCGCUAUCUACAAUGGGAUGGACUCAGACCAUGGAUUCCUAGCAGCACUGUCAAGCCUGGCUCAUCAAGAGGUGCAGGAGCGAUGAGGCUCAUCCCGCAACCCGACCCUAGGUAGGGAAGGACAUCUAAUAGUGAAGAAGCGCGCAAAUGCCAGCUGGAACUCAUGGCCACGCAAAAUAUGCUGGCGUGUAAGGUGUUGCGAAGAGCCAAAAGCCUGUCAGUCGCCCAUAGCGCCAAUUUGAGAAUUACAGUGGCUCCUCUUCCACCUGUUCUUUUUCUCGUCACUGACACAGCCAACCUGCACUAGCCAGUAUGCCGACACUCGUCCAACCGAAAGAAAGCGCCGCAGGCAACCGCACACACACACACACGCACGCACAGAGGGCCCGCUGCGGAAACAGGCACUAUCAUGUUGCACGUUCGCCCCGCCUCCACGUAUCAAAGCACUCUAAUAACAAACCGUCCUGUUUCGACCGCGAUAAACCUCGUUCUUUCCUGUAAUUAAAUCUGUAGCUAUCAUCUACUCUGAAGUGGGAAAGACGGACCCAAAUGACCCGUGACGAGGACAGCCCUUCGAACAGUCGCCGCUGCUGCUGUUGCACACAGCACGAGUACGGACCACAAGCAGCCCAACAAGCGCGUCCCCGUAAAAAUAAAAUAUAGCAAUCAAUAACUAACACUAAAGGAAUCGCUCAGCGGCCAAAGUGCAGUUGCAACUGUUGUGCAAGUCAUGCAUGUCUCAACGCCAGUUCGAUGACACCCCCACUGUCCCGACGCCCAUAUAUCUUAAAGGUUUCACACACCGGCACCCGACCAACCGCAGAACCUCACACCGAUUCUUCACAGCUUCUGAGCCGGCGGCAAGUCGCGAAUGCCACAGCCUAGCCCCGCAGUCAAUCAAGCUCGAAGUACGGUACCAUGGCCCGGAGGAAACUGAACGAACGGCUAGUUGCGUGUAGCCAUCUCCGUCUGUCUCCGUGCCCUUCCGUCUCGCUUUGCAGCCACCCUCCCACAGCUGUGAGCACACACUGUGAGCCUCGAGGAGGAGAGAUUCCCCCAGAACUGCCCCAGAAACAAGACGUCCUUGGCGGCGUCAUGAGUUUUGGCGACACGUGCGCACACACGCAGCACCCUCAAAUUGCAGCGACACGCUCAUAUUGGCGCG
RNAcentral lists this long non-coding RNA (1301 nucleotides) under Volvox carteri. RNAcentral describes it as "long non-coding RNA (VCAR_LNC002838)". Lineage: Eukaryota; Viridiplantae; Chlorophyta; Chlorophyceae; Chlamydomonadales; Volvocaceae. The record is from RNAcentral.